GGACUCACCGCGGGCCACGCCCCCCGGCUCGAGCCGGCGCGCGACGGAGGGGUGGAGCCUUCUCGUCACCUUUCACCCCAGCAUGGCUGCGCCCGUGGGACCGGUGAAGUUCUGGCGACCAGGUACAGAGGGACCAGGUGUCAGCAUCUCUGAAGAGAGACAAAGUUUAGCUGAAAACUCUGCAACAACCGUUGUUUACAAUCCUUAUGCUGCCCUUUCCAUAGAGCAGCAGAGGCAGAAGCUGCCAGUGUUCAAGCUUAGAAAUCAUAUAUUAUACUUGAUAGAAAACUAUCAAACAGUGGUGAUUGUUGGAGAAACAGGAUGUGGGAAAAGCACGCAGAUCCCACAAUACCUUGCAGAAGCUGGCUGGACUGCUGAAGGAAGAGUUGUAGGAGUGACCCAGCCUCGAAGAGUGGCUGCUGUUACGGUUGCAGGGAGAGUAGCUGAUGAGAGGGGUGCAGUGCUGGGCCAUGAGGUGGGCUAUUGCAUCCGCUUUGAUGACUGCACUGACCCGCUGGCUACAAGAAUUAAGUUUCUGACGGAUGGAAUGUUGGUCAGGGAAAUGAUGGUUGAUCCUUUGUUAACAAAAUAUAGUGCCAUCAUGCUAGAUGAAGCCCAUGAGAGGACCUUGUACACAGACAUUGCCAUUGGCUUGCUGAAAAAGAUUCAGAAAAAGCGAGGGGAUCUUCGAUUGAUUGUGGCUUCAGCCACUCUGGAUGCAGAGAAAUUUCGGGAUUUCUUUAAUCAAAAUGAAACCAGCGACCCAACCAGGGAUACAUGUGUGAUCCUUACAGUGGAAGGGCGGACAUUUCCUGUGGAUAUCUUUUAUCUACAAAGUCCUGUUCCAGAUUACAUCAAAGCAACUGUAGAAACCGUGAUGAAAAUUCACCAGACAGAGGGAGAUGGAGACAUAUUAGCAUUUCUUACUGGCCAGGAAGAGGUAGAAACUGUCGUGUCUCUGCUGAUCGAGCAGGCUCGAGCACUAGGUCGGACUGGGAUGAAGAGACACCUCCGGAUCCUCCCCAUGUAUGCAGGACUGCCUUCCUUUGAGCAAAUGAAAGUGUUUGAAAGGGUGUCCCGCAGUGUCCGAAAGGUGAUAGUGGCCACCAAUGUGGCAGAAACCUCCAUUACAAUCAGUGGGGUUGUGUAUGUGAUCGACUGUGGUUUCAUGAAACUCCGAGCCUACAAUCCCAGGACAGCUAUUGAGUGCUUGGUGGUGGUCCCAGUGUCCCAGGCAUCAGCCAACCAGCGAGCAGGACGUGGUGGCCGUAGCCGCUCCGGAAAAUGUUACCGUCUUUAUACAGAGGAAGCCUUUGACAAGCUGCCUCAGUCCACCGUUCCUGAGAUGCAGCGGAGCAACUUGGCACCUGUCAUCCUGCAGCUGAAAGCACUGGGAAUUGACAAUGUCCUCAGGUUCCACUUCAUGUCGCCCCCUCCAGCACAGUCGAUGGUUCAAGCGUUGGAGCUACUCUAUGCCCUGGGAGGUCUGGACAAAGACUGUCGACUAACUGAACCACUUGGCAUGAGAAUAGCAGAGUUUCCUUUGAAUCCCAUGUUUGCAAAAAUGCUGCUUGAAUCAGGAAAUUUCGGCUGUUCUCAGGAAAUUCUCAGCAUUGCAGCCAUGAUGCAGAUCCAGAAUAUCUUUGUGGUCCCCCCUAACCAGAAGUCUCAGGCAAUUCGAGUGCACCGAAAAUUUGCUGUGGAGGAAGGUGAUCAUCUCACUAUGCUCAACGUGUACGAGGCAUUUAUCAAACACAACAAGAACUCUCAGUGGUGUCAGGAACAUUUCCUGAAUUACAAGGGUCUUGUCAGAGCUGCGACAGUAAGAGAACAGUUGAAAAAGCUUCUUGUCAAGUUUCAAGUGCCCAAGAAAUCGAGUGAAGGUGAUCCAGAUCCGGUUCUGAGGUGCAUCGUUUCGGGAUUCUUUGCCAAUGCCGCAAGAUUUCAUUCUACUGGAGCUUAUAGGACCAUCCGUGACGAUCAUGAACUACACAUCCACCCUGCGUCAGUCCUCUAUGCAGAGAAGCCCCCUCGCUGGGUUAUCUACAAUGAAGUUAUACAAACCUCCAAGUAUUAUAUGAGAGAUGUCACUGCAAUUGAAUCUGCUUGGCUGUUGGAGCUAGCUCCACACUUUUAUCAACAAGGAACGAUGCCUGCUUUUCAACUCAGCAGCUCUACUCUGAUCAUUGUGUGAUCAGUUAUUUUUAGAGAGGCCGGGACCUUUAGAAAUCGCCUGGUUCACCAACCUUACUGUACAGGCGAGGCCCUGAAAUUCCCCGAGAACCGCAGCCCCUCCUGACUAGACAGUCCAAAGCACCUGUCCCUAAAAGCCAAAAGGGCCAAGGUCCAAGACCAGUGAGCAGAGCUGGGCUGCUUGGGGCCCGCUCCUCCAUGCUGCUUCUCCCAGCUCGGGGCGCAGUGAGCUGUCCUUGGCUCAUGUGGACCUUCAGCUGCCCUGAUGGGGGCCGUUGCCCAUUCUUCCCGCUCCCCUCAGCAUUGCAUUCCUCGCUGGGAUCCCGGAGGAGUUGUGCGUGGGCAGGCACCCUGCCGUGCUGCACCCAGGCAGAGAGGGGGUUGGCAGGUCUUUGCUCUUUGGUCACUCGGCACCCUCACUGACCCAGCCUGCCACUUCCCACAGGCACGCCGUCCUGGCCCAGCCUAAUGGGGACGGAGGAGGAAAGUGAGCCACUGCCGGCUGAGGCACCAUGUCGAGUGCACAGAGGGUUUGCUGGGCUGGCUUUGUUCUCUCCUGGGGGGCACAGCUGUGUCGACUAGUGAGGGCCAGAUGGGAAUCUGUGCAUCUCCGGAGGGAGAGACCCUGGAAACGCUGUGAUUUCCACCAAAAUCACUGAGGGCUCCCGGACCAAGCAGCUUCUGGUUCCCCCUUUUGCGCACGUCCCUGUUUAUCUACGGCCAGAAAACUCACAAGGAUUGGUGAUGACGGAGAGGACUCAAGCACCGUUCUUUGUUACAGAAGUAAGAUACCACGCCCCCUGCCACCAGCAGAGCACUCGUGAACACCCAUCAGCUCAGCCCCACCGGGGACCCUCUGCGGCAGGAGCUCCCAGCAGCGUCGAGACUCUCAGCUUCUCUAGCUCAGGAACAGAACUUACGCAUUUGUUUUGGUUCGUUUGCCGGGUUCUUGCGAGAACGCGGGCGGCUCUUCCAGCAGGCACUGGUCUCAUUGCUGCCCAGGCUUCUUUGCUGAGAGGUUGGCAUUUCAACACGUGACCUGUCCAGAUUUGGUCACCAUCCUGUUUCAAUGACAUUUAUUUUAAGAACAUGUAGUUUGAAAGUUUAUUUUUAUACUGAUCUUAGUAUGUACCUGCCACUUUGGCACCAAACGUGUAUGCCAUUUUUAUUUCCAUUUUGUAAACGUGUUAAUAAUAGUGAUAACCUGUUAAUAAUAGCAAACCUUUAUACCUAAAGUAAAUGUAUUCCCUCCCA
This is an RNA transcript of Myotis daubentonii (Daubenton's bat), 3447 nucleotides long. It is a transcript of the gene named DEAH-box helicase 35, with no coding region annotated. NCBI's taxonomy places the organism in Eukaryota, Metazoa, Chordata, Mammalia, Chiroptera, Vespertilionidae. The record is from RefSeq and is a predicted model, not a curated record.